This 1228-nucleotide ribosomal RNA is filed under the name uncultured bacterium. RNAcentral's name for it is "bacterial SSU rRNA". It matches the Rfam family "Bacterial small subunit ribosomal RNA", at positions 246 to 1482 of the family's 1533-position model. The record is from RNAcentral.
UAGUUGGUAAGGUAACGGCUUACCAAGGCAACGAUGUUUAGGGGGUCUGAGAGGAUAGUCCCCCACACUGGUACUGAGACACGGACCAGACUCCUACGGGAGGCAGCAGUGAGGAAUAUUGGUCAAUGGGCGCAAGCCUGAACCAGCCAUGUCGCGUGUAGGAUGACUGCCCUAUGGGUUGUAAACUACUUUUUUACAGGAAUAAACUUUUCCACGAGUGGGAAACUGAAGGUACUGUAGGAAUAAGGAUCGGCUAACUCCGUGCCAGCAGCCGCGGUAAUACGGAGGAUUCGAGCGUUAUCCGGAUUUAUUGGGUUUAAAGGGUCCGUAGGCGGGCUUGUAAGUCAGUGGUGAAAUCUCACAGCUCAACUGUGAAACUGCCAUUGAUACUGCAGGUCUUGAAUUUAGUUGAGGUGGGCGGAAUACGAUAUGUAGCGGUGAAAUGCAUAGAUAUAUCGUAGAACACCGAUUGCGAAGGCAGCUCACUAAGCUAAUAUUGACGCUGAUGGACGAAAGCGUGGGGAGCGAACAGGAUUAGAUACCCUGGUAGUCCACGCCGUAAACGAUGAUCACUCGUUGUGCGCGAUACACAGUGCGCGACUGAGCGAAAGCAUUAAGUGAUCCACCUGGGGAGUACGUUGGGCAACAAUGAAACUCAAAAGGAAUUGACGGGGGCCCGCACAAGCGGAGGAACAUGUGGUUUAAUUCGAUGAUACGCGAGGAACCUUACCUGGGAUUAAAUGCAUUUUGAUCGGCUUGGAAACGAGCUUUCUCUUCGAAGCAAAUUACAAGGUGCUGCAUGGUUGUCGUCAGCUUCGGGCCGUGAGGUGUCGGGUUAAGUCCCAUAACGAGCGCAACCCCUAUCGUUAGUUGCUAGCAGGUAAUGCUGAGGACUCUAGCGAGACUGCCACCGUAAGGUGAGAGGAAGGUGGGGAUGACGUCAAAUCAGCACGGCCCUUACGUCCAGGGCUACACACGUGUAACAAUGGCUAGUACAAAGGGCAGCUACCUGGGACAGGAUGCUAAUCUCAAAAGCUAGUCUCAGUUCGGAUCGGAGUCUGCAACUCGACUCUGUGAAGUUGGAUUCGCUAGUAAUCGUAUAUCAGCAAUGAUACGGUGAAUACGUUCCCGGGCCUUGUACACACCGCCCGUCAAGCCAUGGAAGCCGAGGGGACCUGAAGUUCGUAACCGCAAGGAGCGACCUAGGGUAAAAUUGGUAACUGGGGCU